CUGGGAUGAAAAUCCGAAUGAAAUAUACAAAUAACUCUUGAGCUAGGUAAAUUUAAAAUUCUGUGUCAAAAUGAUUUAUGGAACCCAAGGCAGGGUAUCAACGGUAGGAAAUCAAGCAAUGAAAUCAGCAAAGUUGCAGACAGUCAGCUGGUUUGGGCCAACAACAAAGUAGCGCCAGCAACCGAACAAUCAAACGAAAUCAUAAAGCAGACGGGUGGCUGGGCAAAAGGACGAAGGUCCACAAAACUGGACAAGUGUGUGGAUGGCACAAAUAUCAAAACGGCGGACAAUGGGAUGCUGGGCAGCGUUGGUUGCCAUGGAGUCGGCAAAUCGGCAGGAAACACUCGCUGCGAGUCCUUUAAAGGAGAUGUGGUAGUCCCUCGCACAUUUAUCAAAAACACUUUCACUUGGCGCAAAUUCGCACAUUUAUCUUAUGCAAGCCAGAGGAAAACAGCGAAAGAGAACCAAUUCUAUUACAGCUGCUGGCAUGGAUUCCAAAUUCUAUGGCCAUGGCACACAAAGUGUCCACGGACACGGACUUGGAAUCGGACUCAAACUCGGACUCCUCCAGCUCCGGCGAAUGUGGGCAGUUUGCCACUUGCACCCGCCGUGACACAAGGAUACACAGGACCACCCACCCAAUAUACUAUUUCAUUUGCAUUUCGUAUAAGUCACAUGGCUACGUGACCCACAUGCACAAGACUCCCAGCUCGGGCUGUUCGAGUUUUUGCCAAUAACGGACUACAAACGAGUUCAGACGAGGCGUCUGUGUGGAUGGGUGGUCCUGGUGGGUGGGUCCUGGAGUCUGGGCCUUGGGCACGAGGGCUAUUGUGCAAAGACAAGCACAAAUUUGUAUAAAUUUUCAAUAAAUUACAUCAAAUCAA
This is a long non-coding RNA of Drosophila santomea, 884 nucleotides long. RefSeq lists it as uncharacterized. The transcript is spliced from 2 exons. The record is from RefSeq and is a predicted model, not a curated record. Lineage: Eukaryota; Metazoa; Arthropoda; Insecta; Diptera; Drosophilidae.